AGUGAACGCUGGCGGUAGGCCUAACACAUGCAAGUCGAACGGCAGCACAGUAAGAGCUUGCCCUUACGGGUGGCGAGUGGCGGACGGGUGAGGAAUACAUCGGAAUCUACUUUUUCGUGGGGGAUAACGUAGGGAAACUUACGCUAAUACCGCAUACGACCUACGGGUGAAAGCAGGGGAUCUUCGGACCUUGCGCGAUUGAAUGAGCCGAUGUCGGAUUAGCUAGUUGGCGGGGUAAAGGCCCACCAAGGCGACGAUCCGUAGCUGGUCUGAGAGGAUGAUCAGCCACACUGGAACUGAGACACGGUCCAGACUCCUACGGGAGGCAGCAGUGGGGAAUAUUGGACAAUGGGCGCAAGCCUGAUCCAGCCAUACCGCGUGGGUGAAGAAGGCCUUCGGGUUGUAAAGCCCUUUUGUUGGGAAAGAAAAGCAGCAGGUUAAUACCCCGCUGUUCUGACGGUACCCAAAGAAUAAGCACCGACUAACUUCGUG
This 492-nucleotide ribosomal RNA is filed under the name uncultured bacterium. RNAcentral's name for it is "partial 16S ribosomal RNA". It matches the Rfam family "Bacterial small subunit ribosomal RNA", at positions 29 to 507 of the family's 1533-position model. The record is from RNAcentral.